UCACAUUGCUACAAUUUUAGAUACAAAUACACUAAUUAAAAUUUUAGAAGCAAACAACAUCAUACAGUACGACAAACUCAAAUAUUGCUGAAAGUUUACAUAGAAAUACACAAAUUAUUUAGCUCAUAUUUAAUUUACAAAUAACUAAACUAUUAAAAAAUUCAAUAUUUCCCACAUAAUGUACUUAUUCCAAAAAUGGCUAAUUGCAUAUCUCUAUCUGAAAAGUACUAAAGUAUCAAAUUACACCUACAAGUUAUAUGGCUAAUUUAUAAGUAUUAAAAACACAUUUACACUAAUUUUUCACUAGUACAUAAAAUUGAAAUAAUCUCAAUUCUACCUCACAUUUACUGUCCAUUCUCCCUCACAUUCAAACUAUCCAUCACAUUGUAGCUUAAAAACAUGUAUAAAUACAAAUCCUCUACAUGCUUAAUAACAAACAAACUAAUUUUUCUCCCUCUCUAAAGUAUAAAAUAAAGCUUAAC
Molecule: long non-coding RNA, 482 nt
Filed under: Setaria viridis
Lineage: Eukaryota; Viridiplantae; Streptophyta; Magnoliopsida; Poales; Poaceae
Description: long non-coding RNA (SVIR_LNC010382)
Source: RNAcentral